This 110-nucleotide microRNA precursor is filed under the name Paramuricea clavata. The record is from RNAcentral. Lineage: Eukaryota; Metazoa; Cnidaria; Anthozoa; Malacalcyonacea; Plexauridae.
CUGUUAUAAUAUAGUUUUGUUUGUGGAAACACCACGUAAAUUUAUUACUACAAUAACAAAUUUACGUGGUGUUUCCACAAAUAAAACUAUUAUAUGUUUUAUCGCCGUGC